CCAAAAACAUAGCCCUUAAAAAAAUUAAAGGUGAAACCUGCCCAAUGAUUUAAUAAUUUACACUUAAAAGAUAAAUAAAAAAUUAAAUGGCUGCAGUAACCAUGACUGUAAAAAUGUAGCAUAAUAAUUCGCCACUUAAUUAGUGGAUAGUAUGAAUGGUUAAACGAAAAUUCCACUGUCUUAUAAAAUACAAUAAAAAAUUUAAAUCAUAGUUAAGAUGCUAUGUAAAACUGUAAGACGAAAAGACCCUAUAAAGCUUAACUAUAAAUCUUAACAUUUUAAUAUUAAAACUAAUAAAAAUCAUUAAGAUUUGGUAGUUUCAUUGGGGCGAUGAUCUCUAAAAAUAAACAGAGAUAAACUAAUUUAAUAAUAAAAUUUACUGUAUAAUUAAUAAAUUUAACAGUUACAAAGUAGGGUAUAAUGACCCAUUAUUCUAAUUAAAAAAAAAAAUAAUGAACAAUAAAUAAAAGCUACUUUAGGGAUAACAGGAUAAUAAUUUCUUAGAGACCCAAUCGAAGAAAAAGUUUAUCACCUCGAUGUUGAAUUAAGAUAACCUAAUGACGCAGCAGUAAUUAAAGGUAGGUC
This 585-nucleotide ribosomal RNA is filed under the name Lytocarpia phyteuma. RNAcentral describes it as "partial large subunit ribosomal RNA". It matches the Rfam family "Bacterial large subunit ribosomal RNA", at positions 1807 to 2577 of the family's 2925-position model. The record is from RNAcentral. Lineage: Eukaryota; Metazoa; Cnidaria; Hydrozoa; Leptothecata; Aglaopheniidae.